UGGUUGAUGUGAUGUGACAUAUAUGUAGAGAGAGAGAGAGAGAGAAAGUAGGAUUUCUGUGUUGUUAAAAAUACUUGUGCUUCUAAUUUCUUAACUCUUUAUCAAUUUUGAUGAAUGAUUAAGGUAAGAAAGAGAAAAAAAUUGAAGAAAAAUAUAAUUAGUUUAGAAUAUUAUUAAUAGCAUUAAGUUAUUAGUGUUAUUAAAUUUUUUGCUUUUGGAUGAAGGGAUGUGCAGUUAAGACGAUAGUGAUCCUUUAGGAUUGAGUGGGUGAUUUGUUGAAUAUAUAGUAUGAUCUAACGGAUAAAAAUGAUCAAAAAAAUAUAUUUAACGGCAAAAAACUUGGUAGCAUCAAAUAUUUGGUGCUAUCGAUAGUAUUGUCGCGGGACUCUCUCAGUCUCUCUCUCUCUCUCUUCCUCUCUCUCUAUCUCUCUCUCUCUCUCUCUCUCUCUAUAUAUAUAUAUAUAUAUAUAUAUAUAUAUAUAUAUAUAUAUAGUCCGGCUGUAAUACUAUCGAUAGCACCAAGCGCGCGCUUGGUGCUAUCGAGUUUUCUGCCGUUAGAUUUAACCCUUUGACUUUUUUUAUCCUUUAGAUUAUACUAUUCAAUAAAUAACUUACUCAACCCUAGAGGGCCCACAUCAUCGUAACCGUACGUUUUUUCAUUCAAGGGCCGAAAAUUUAAUAGCACCAAGCGCUUGAUGCUAUCGAUAGUAUUCCAGCCUAGUUAUAUAUAUAUAUAUAUAUAUAUGGGUCCGGCUACUAUACUAUUAUGAGUAUGAUCGCCCUCGUACUCAUAAGUUAUUUUCGAUGAUAGAGCUUUCGAAUCGAUGAUCCACACCGUUAAACGUUAUUUAUAGCAUUUAAAAUUUCUAGAAAUCAAAUUUUAUAAUUUUCCGACAUCAUUUACCUUACGAUCAAGAGGUCACAAAUUUGACAAUUUUUAACGGCCGGUAUGGAAUACUUGCUAGUUUAACGGUGUAAAACAAUCGAAAUUUGUUGAAUUUUUGAUAGAAAAUUCUAUUCACUACAUAGAUAAAGAUCAAUAACUCCGAUCUUGAAUUGAAGGAUCCGAUCAUUUUUUUUAGGACAUCGUUCGAUUUUGACCGUUCAUUUUAUGCCCACUUGAUGAACUUUAUUAUGAUUUCAAAAAUUUACGAAAUUAAAUUUCUAGAAGUUUCAAAUACUCUAGAUCAUAUUUAACUGAGUGGAUCGUCGAUUCGGAAGCUCCAUCAUUGAAAACAACUUAUGAGUACGAGGGCUCCAAUACUCAUAAUAGUAUAGUAGCCAUGGCCUAUAUAUAUAUAUAUAAUCUGGCUACUAUACUUUUAUGAGUACGAUCGCCCUCGUACUCAUAAGUCGUUUUCAAUGAUAAAGCUUCCAAAUCGACGAUCCAUACCGUUAACCAUUAUCUAGAGCAUUUAAAACUUCUAGAAAUCAAAUUUCAUAAUUUUUCGACAUCAUUUGCCUUACGAUCGAACGCUCACAAAAUUGACAAUUUUUAACGGCCGGUAUGAGAUACUUGUUAGUUUAACAGUGUAAAAGAUUCGGAAUAUGUUGAAUUUUUUAUAAAAAAUUCUAUUCACUAUCUAAAUAAAGAUCAAUAACUUCGAUCUUAAAUUGAAGGAUCCGAUCAUUUAUUUUUAAGACGUCGUUCAAUUUUGACUGCCCAUUUUAUGCUCGUUUGAUGGACUUCAUUAUGAUUUCGAAAAAUUACGAAAUUUAUUUUUAAAAAUUUCAAAUACUAGAAGAUCACAUUUAACGAAAUUUAUUUUUUAGAAGUUUCAAAUACUCUAGAUCAUAUUUAACGGAAUUUGAUAUAUAUAUCAAACUCAAGUGAAGAGAGGACCCCAAACUUCAUCAUAGUUUCCGUUGAGAUAUAAUUUCACAGGGAUAUUAUACUUAUGAAAGUACCAUUACAUUCACAUGGUCUUCUUGAGACCUAAGAUGCAUGGAACUAAUUUGUGCUUUUAUUCUUAAAGUAGUAAUAUUCCAACACAACAUAUUCCUACACCGUCUCAAAUUCUCCCUCAAUAAACCCAUAUGCAAUUCGUGAAUUAUGCUACAAUACUCUUAGAAGUCCUAACUUUUGAGUAUUCGCAUGUCAUUUUUUAUGAUUAGAUAACAUAGUCAUAGCGCCAAAUUUUAUGAUUAUUCAAUAUUAUUUAUUAAUUAAUUAAGCAGUCUCAAAAUUAAUAAUUUCGAACCGUAUGCUUGAUUAUUAGAUAAAUAUAUGUCAAAAAAAAUUUAAAAAUGGUGGGGGUUUCUAAAAAGUUAAGAUUGUAUAUAGCAGCAUAUCCUUUUCUCCACCAUCUAUUCCAUUGUAGUGUUUUCUCGGGUGGGAAUCUUUACAUCCCAUUCAAAAGAUAGAGAUGGUUGAUUUGAGGUACCUUUCUAACAUCACUGUUAAAAGCAACCAAAGAUUAUACUCCUCUCCCCCAUUUGAUGAAGUCCCCUCAGGGAAGGGGAAAUUAUUGCAUAGGCCACAAUCAAAAGAGGACCAGAGAUAUUAAAAUCUAAAUGUAAAUAAUUAUAUACCAAAAUAAAUUAUCGAAGACCACAACUUUUGAUAAGAUAUUAGAGCAUUCCCGUAGUUUUCUCGGGAAGCUGACGUAAAUAUAUUGAAGAGGUUUCAUUGGUUAAUACACGUACGAUUCUGCCGACAUAUUAUUGGUCCGAAUAAUAAUUUAUUUUUUUUAUCUUUCUAUAUCUUUCUAAGGUGCCAAGUAUAUCCUACUUUUUUAUUUUUUAUUUUUUAUUUUGUCGUCACCUUAUCCUCCCAGUAGUCUUAGAAAAAGGCAACAUGUAGACGUCCCCACACUCCACCUACAUCCUCUUCUCCCCUCCUAAGAAACGGAUGUAUAUUCUUUGCAACCCAAGAAUAGUAAUUGAUGAUGCAUUUCCCACCUCUUUUUCUCUCUACAAGUAUCCUAAUAUGCUGUUCUUACGGAGAGUUGAUGUGUCGAUAACAUAUCUAUUAUUUGUUAUUUAUUAUUUAUUACUAUUAUUAGAUUAUUAGACUACAAUAAAAGAGAGUUGGGAGAAUUUGGAAGAAAUUGGGAGUGACACGUAUCUUCCAAUUUCUCCAAACUCUUUUUUAAACCCCUCCAAUUUCUCUUAACUCUCUUUUAAAUCCUCCCCUUCAACAUUAAUCUAUAUUUUUAUCUUCUAUAACACUAUAUGAAUUCCCAAUGAAAAUAAUAACAUGACAAGCCCUCUUUUUUUAAGAUUUUUUAGAUUUUUUAUAUUUUUUGAUGAUGGUUCAUUCUCCUUUAUUCUUACAUUUAAUGUUCUUAAUAAUUACAAUUCCAUUAACACUCACCUCUUAAUUACUCUUUAAUUUCAUUUAUAUCCCCUAUAAACUUUUUAAUAGUGAAAUAUUUAAGGCAUUAAUUAUAAAGAGAAAAAACUGUCUAAUUAUUUACAAGAAUAAUGGCUUUUUUACAUAUUUAUAUUUUUCCUAUCUUAUUAUAUUUAAUGUUGCUAAUAAUAGCUAUAUAUUACCUACGUAUGUUUUUCUUUCCUAAUUAAUUAUAUACUAUUAUGCUACAUUAUUAUUAUCUACAUUACUAUGCUUCAUUAUUAAUCAAAAGAUUGUUAGUUGAUAUAGAGCAUAAUUAAACAUGGAAGAUAUUUCGAAUGCAUCGAAAAUUUAAUUGAGAUCAAGCCUCUAACUCUCUAUUUGUUAGUGAAUCAGUUAUCUUAUUUUUAAUUUUAUAUUUUUCAACAUAUAUAUUAUUAAUAAUGUAUACGAAGAACGCGCAUGGACUCCAAAGGCAUUUCAUCUUCCACACGCCACCCCACUCUGAAUCUACGUCACUGGCACGUGCGACGGCGAUGACGUGGCAGGUCGCGAGCCUAUCGCGUCGUUUGGCUGCGCUCACACGCGUCGGCCGCACACGUGUCGAAGUUGGAACUAAUAUUACGCCUAACAGGGCUACAAUUAGUGACGUUGUUAAUUUGAGUUGCCAUAAAAGACAAAUUUAUAAAACUACACUCAAAUUUAUUUAGAACAAACCUUUUACGCAUGUUCUACUUUUUAUUGUCCACACUUGUAAGCAUUUCAGGAGUUACGAGGAAGACUAACGAGAGACCAUCUAAAAAGAGGGAAGGAAAAAAAAAAAAAAAUAGUACAAAAAAAAACUUACAUGAUUCCACUGCUAGUCUACAUUUACGAAUAAAAAUAAAUAAAAAUUAUUUAUCAUCAUCAAAAAUGAAUUAGUAUAAAAGAUGGCUCCUAGGACGCUUGACUUUACAAAAUAAAAUAAUUGUUUUGAAAAAAGUUAUUAGUUUUUGUGGUUUUACAUAAAUGAGCUUUCUUUAUUUUUACAAAUUUGAACCAGAAUUUUAAAAAAUUGACUAUAAUAUUAUGUGCAUUGGAGUAUUCAACAACUAUGUAUCUCUGCUUCCUCUGCCCCUACUCACAGGCGCAUAUUUGAUGCUUCAACCCCCGGGCAGCAGUUUAAGUACUUAUUCCAUCUCCGCCACCUCCGCACCAACUUCUCCGUCGUGUCCCCAUCGUGAUGCUCCUUACGAGUGAGAGGAAGACGAUGAAUUUGAAAUAUAUUUUUUAUUAAAAAAAUUAUUUAAAAACAUGAGAUUACCUUUUAUAUAUUUAAAGUUAUUCUAUCUAACUAUUAUAUCUAACUAUUACAGCUAGACAACGGCAAAAUUUGAGCAUAGUUCUAAGCAUUGCAAUUGACCCUUCUAUUGUUCCAACUUCAAUAGUUGAAUUCAGAUAUAUCAAAUUAAACACUGAUUUGGAUAUAUAUAUAUAUAUAUAUAGAGUCCGGCUACUAUGCUAUCGGUAGCACGGAGCGCUCCGUGCUACCAAGUUGUUUUCGAUGAUGCGGCUUCCAAAUCGACGAUCGGCUCCGUUAGACUUGAUCUACACUAUUGAAAGUAUUUGGAAACUAAAUUUCAAAUUUUUUCAACAUCAUUUGACUAGUGAUCAAAAGAUCUCAAAAUUGACAAUUUUAAUGGCCGAUGUAGUGUGUUUGUGAGUUUAACGGUGUAAAACAAUCCAAAUGCGAUGAAAAUUUUAUAGAAAAUUCUUUUCACUAUUUAGAGUAAGAUCAGUAUAUCUGAUCUUGAAUUUAAAUCUUUUAUCAUCAUUUUUUAUGAGAUUUUUAUUUUCAGCCGUUCAAUUUUAGACUACUUGUUUGAUAGGUAAAUGAUAUCGAAAAAUUAUAAAAUUUAGUUUCUAAAUACUUUCAAUAGUGUAGAUUAACUCUAACGGAGCCGAUCGUCGAUUUGGAAGCCACAUCAUCGAAAACAACUUGGUAGCACGGAGCGCUCCGUGCUACCGAUAGUAUAGUAGCCUAGCUCUAUAUAUAUAUAUAUAUAUAUAUAUAUAUAUAGUGACGCUGGUAUGUUUUUAGAAGUACGGAGUCCUCCUUGCUUUCAAAUCGUUUCGAUGUUGAAAUUUUUGAAUUGACGACCGGCUCCGUAAGACUUAAUUUAAAGUAUUUGAAAUAUUUAAAAAAUAAAUUUCACAAUUUUGUGAUAUCAUUUGCUUAGUAGUCAAAGAAACUCAAAAUCAAUAAUUAUAAUAGUCAUGGUGAACCGUUUACAAAUUUAACGAUAUAAAAAAUAUUCAAAUUAUGUAAAAUUUUGAUGAAAAAUUUUUUACACUAUAUGAAAUAAAAUUAAUAUUUUUGAUCUAAAAUUUUAAAAACAUAUCAUUAAAUUUUGUAACAUUUUUAUUAAAACUUUUUUAUCACAGCUUUUACCUUCCGACAAGAACAGUGCAAUAUAUUUUUAUCAAUUUGGGUUGAGUCGGCACAAAAAAAAGAGAAAAUACUUCAAAACCCCCUUUGUGGUUUCAUACUUUUCCAUUUUAAUACUCUAUAGUUUAAAGUGUAUUAAGUUAGUAUCCUGUGAUUUCUCACUUUAUCACUUUAGUACCCUGUGGUUUAAAGUGUAUCAAGUUAGUACUCUAUGAUUUUAUUUUUGUAUCAAGUUAGUAUUCUAUGGUUUUUAAAUCACAAGGUACUAAAGUGAUAAAGUGCGAAACCACAGGAUACUAAAGUGAAACCAUAGGGUACUAACUUGAUACACUUUAAACCACAUGGUACUAAAGUGAAAAAGUGCAAAAUCAAAGGGUAUUAAUUUGAUACACUUUAAACUAUAUAGUACUAAAGUGAGAGAAAGUGAAACCAAAAUGGAGUUUUUGAAGUUUUUCCAAAAAAAAAACAUUUUAAAAGAUAAUAAUGCCGACGGCCGUGUCCGUGCAGCAGCAGCAGACGGCAGGUACACGCGGUCAUCGGGAAUGGCGAAGGGACGCCGUGGCGGGGCCAGGCGGCGGCCGCCACGCGGGCUGCGGAGCCGCAGUGGGGCGCUGAAAUCUGGACGAAGCAACCCCACGUCCUACGUUUCCGGGAAGCGCGCCUCUAAUUCAUUUAAAUAAUAAGAAAUUAGUUAAAUUAAAUCCACGGAAGAAGCUGCGAGAAGCGGCGAAUUAGCACAAUCGCAUCUUUCGGCUUUCGCGCCCCGCCCUUUCGUCCGUUCCUGGUGCGUUUUUGCCCGACGACAGCAGUUGGUUGUAACUUCCAACUUCUCCGCACCGCGCCAAAAGUUUGUUCGACCUCUUUCCUCCUCGACACAUCUGCUGAAGAGAGAAAGAGAAUUUUAGAGUGCACCGGGGUUAUACUAGUGACUAGUCGCGUUCAACCAAUCAAAUAAUUUUUUUAAAAUUUAUUUUUUUCAUCAUAAUUAUAAAAAAAAUAUUUUUAUUAUAUAUAUUUUUUUUCAAAUGAAGAGAUGUGAUAUGUUUGUUAUUGAUGAUGUGAUGCAAGUGUGACAUAGGCUUCGCGGGGAGAUUGUGUUAUAUGCGGUGAGAAACUGCAAUAAAAAAAAUCGUCGGUUUGUUUCCGUAAGUAAUAUUGCAUUCCGCAUAUCACGAUGAGUCGGUUACGAUAUAUUUUCUGCGGUCCACCGGAGAAUGCAGAACUAUAUCCUUAUAUGCUUUUUCCUCAACUCCAUUUUAUCUAAUAAUGUUAGAUAGACCUCAAUACCAAACUAAGCCAUAGUAGACUUCCUUACAGAGAAAAGGAACUACACAGCCAACAACAGAAAGUAUUACUAGUAAUGCAGCACAUGCAGUUAAAAGAGGAAGUCUACUAUACAUGUCACAUUUAUGUCAUAUCAUCAAUAAUCAGUUAAUCAUAUCUUUUUUAUAAAAAAAAGUUCAAUAAAAAUAUUAUUUUAAUAAUCAUGAUGGGAUGGGUAAACUCAUGGAAAAAUAUCUAAUUGGUUGGGAACGCCAUCUCAGCAUUGUAACUAGUACAUUUUAGAGUUUUGUAGUUAAGUGAUGCAAAGCAAUGCAAUUGACGUGAGAUUAUCUUACUCACCGUUUACAUGAUUUUGAGAUUCUAAUAAAAGGAAACUUUAUAAUUCAUUCUAGAAUUAUUUUAGUCCUAAGUUUGGUCAAUUUUCUUAAUUUUUUAGAUCUAAUCACUACCUAAACUAUUAUAGCUAGAUUGACAAUGCGGCUUUUCGGCUAAUGUCCAUUGUAGGUAGAGUACGAUUUUACACAAGAUUGCCUAAAACUAGAGUCUUAUGUUGGCUGGUGCUUGUAAGUGUGUCUAAAUUUGACAAGAACGUUAGUUAUCAGGAGAGGACGGGAAAUGUGACACCCUCAUGAUCAAUUUAAUUGGAAUAGUCCUAUACAUGCACACCCAUGAUCGAUUUGAAAUAGUUUUUUAUAUAAGAUAUAAUAAACCUAUAUCUUUUAAUCCGAUUAUAAUAUUUUAGGCGGUAGAUAGGUUUAAAAGUCAAGAAGGUUGAGCAAGCUUAGGACUAAAAUAGUUUAAAGAUGGAUAGCUGUCUAGGAAGCAUGGCAUCGCAGGUUUUAUAGCCGAUUAGCUAGCUAGGGACAAUCCCUAUCAAAUUUUGGUUCCAUGGGGGCUCAAUUUUGCUAUCUAAUAUUGAUGCUCAGAUGCGUUCUUUUUCAGAUGGACGGUCCUUGAAAUUUUCCUGCAUAUAAAAUUGCACCUGCAAUGUGCACUCCUAGGUGAUAGACAUCAGCUGCGCUACUCAAAUUACUAACCAAAUCGAUCUAAUUAAGAUUAAGAAGAACCAGUUAACAAGCUCUAAUUAGGCUAGCGGCUAGCCAUUUAGGUGGAUGCUUACUAUUUGGGUUAUAAAUUAGUUUAGUUCAGGGUCCGAUAAUACAUUUUUGUCCUCUCCCUUUGUAUGGUUGAAUGUAGCUUGAAGUAGUCGUAUUUGUAAAUCUUUGUACUUUACUUGCAACAUGAACUAUAGAUCUACAAAUAUUACUCAUGUUUGUUAACUAAAGCAACAAGAUCAAGCUUCACUCAAAUUGGUAAGGAUAAGAAUAUCGUUUCAUAUUUGUAUAUAGAUUUCUACAUUCUUUCUUAUUUGAUAGCCCUUUUCAUAUGUAUACCAUGCAUUCAAAUGAACCUUCACUAAAGUAUUUCUAGAUAAAAAAACAAACAACGUACUCCAAUAUUAUUUUUUUGCAUUUAGAAAUACUUAAACAUGUAAUGUGAGUAGUUGGAGAUCAUACAACUACUGAACAAGCCAUACAUGAGAGAAGCUCCAAACACCUUUUGCUACAGGAUCAAACAAAUUAUUUAUAUCCUCUCUCCUCUAUGGCCUGUUAACCAAAAAAUCGAUUUAGUAGAAAAUAGUGUAAAAUUGACAGGCGAUCGAGAGCGAUAUGAGAUGAAUGUAUGGUGGAAAUUUGAACCCCACGUCCUCACGAAACUGAAAAAUUGACUCUAAUGAAUGUCGUGUUAUAUAAGAUCAAUAUGAUAAAUACUAAACAAGACGAACACUACAAACUACGUGGUUCCAUUUUUGACUAUAAUUCUAUAAGCCAGAGUAUUUGGACCAGUUAGGGUUUAAUCAAUUGAUCCGCGUACUCUUUCUCUCUGGAAACAUCUUCCUCUCUUUCAAUUUUGACAUCAAAUUUAAUAACACUCCCAUCCUUUUCGAAAAAUGAACAAAUUAAAGAUAUACUUCCAUAAAUAUGGUGCUUGUAAUUAAUUAAGAUAUUGACGUUCCAUAAAAUCUAUUAUCAAUCCAAAGAGAGGAGGGCCCAUUUACAAAGUUCUAGAACAAAUCCUUCAUAUUAUUAUUAUAAAUAAUAUAUUAUAGAAUGUGCAUGUGCGUGUGGCAUUACUCUGUGGAACGUUAUGCAAUUAAUCCUUUUCUUUCUACGUACUUAAGCUAUAUAUCAUUCUCAUUUAAUCAAUUUCUCUCCAUUUCUUUUUUUUUCAAUUAGACAAUGAAACAGAAAAGUUUUUUUUUGUUUGAGAGAAAAGUAGCACGCUACCUGUUUCAUUCAUUAGGUAAAUGAGCUUAACUACAUAGAGUGAGGCAGCUAGGGCCUCAUGUAGGCGACUAAACGAACGAGAAAGAAACUAAAAGAAUAACAAAAAAAGAACAACAAAGAACAAUAACCAACGUCAUCCUACUCUGCAAAAAUCAGUCCACUCUUUCACUAGAGCUCUAAUAUGGUGAGCAGUAGAAAUAACAUUCAUAGGCAGGUUUCGGAAAAUAAAAUUAUUUCUUUCGCACCAAAUCGUCCACCCCCUUCAAUUACCAUGCUGAUAUCUAACAAUUAUAGGUUAUAUCCUUAGAAUGACUCUCUCUGUCUCUCUCUCUCACUCUCUUUGUAAAGAUUGCUGGUUUAAAGUGGCCAACAUCCUUGCUUCGAAGUGGCAGGAGGCCAGGUUGGACCGAGUUAUGUUCAAAGUGGCGUGAGACUGGUUGAGUCCAGUCACAAUCGAGACCCGUGAAUCCUGUGCACGUACGCUUUAAGUAAAUUGGUUGCAUCUUUCUAACAACCCGAGCUUUUGGAAUUAGUAGAUGCAUCUUUCUAACAACUUGUCGGAUCGUUCGCGCUAACCAUUAAUCUCAAAAGCUCGAGCUAUUAGAAAUACGCAACCAAUUCACUUAAAGCGUAUAGAAACAACGUCCACGGGUCUUGAUUGUGACUCGGCCCACCUAGCCUCACGCCACUUCGAACAUGACUCGGCCCAACCCAGCCUCACGCCAUUUCGAACAUGACUCGACCCACAUGGCCUCCCGCCACAGGGCAGGAUGCUGGCCCAUUUAAGCCAACAAUCCCCCCUCCAGCACCUGCAUAUAUUUGCAGCAGGCAGAAAUCGAACCCGUGACCUCUGGCUCUGAUACCACUUGUCGGAUCGUUGGUGCUAACCAUUAAUCCCAAAAGCUCGAGCUAUUAGAAAUACGCAAUCAAUUCACUUAAAGCGUGCAGAAACAGCGCCCACGGGUCUCGAUUGUGACUCGGUCCACCUGACCUCACGCCACUUCGAACAUGACUCGGCCCAACCCAGCCUCACGCCAUUUCGAACAUAACUCGACCCACAUGGCCUCCCGCCACAAGGCAGGAUGCUGGCCCAUUUAAGCCAACACUUGAGCUUUUAGAAUUAAUAGUUAGUGCCAACGAUCUAAAAAAGGUAGGAAGGUGCUUGCUUCAUUUACUUUUUAGGAAUGAACUUAGCUAGAAUGUGAAGCAAACUAGGCUUCGAACUAAGGACAUCGGGGACCAUCCAUCAAGUUUCUCACGUCACUGUGCUAGGUACAGUCGACCUUAGAAUAGUGCUAGUAAUAUAGCCAAUUUGAAGAGUAUCGUAUUCUUUGUAAGAUGGACGAUUUUUUAAGGGUCGCACUAUUGAUAGAACCUUUUCAUAUAUCGACAAAUAAAUUUAUUAAAUCUGCUUAUUAUUUACUGAGUGAAUUUGAUAAAAUUCAGCAAAUUUGGCAUACUUCUAAUGAAACCUUCACUAUCAAUGUGACUACCCCUCUUGGAAGUUAUGAAUUCUCCACCAAUGAUGUAAGUGCACUAUGUGCUAAGAUGAACAGAACAAGUCCACAACCCUCACACACAGUGAUGCCCCCUCCCUUAACCUUAUCAGGUGCCUAAAAAAACAAACAACCUUCAUUGGCCAUUGAGAAAUCUAGAGAACAAAAUGUGGGCCACUAAGAUAAGGAUGAGAUGCAUGUGUCUUAGCUUGAUCAUGAACAUGGUGAUCAGGUGCAUGCCCACCAAAAUAUUCAAUUGGCUAUAUACUAGGUCUUUCUCCAACUGCUCCAAUAGAUAUAUAUAUACAUAUAAGACACUAUAGAUUCUCCACUAUAUAUAAUUAGCUAAUUCCAGCAUUCAAGUGGCAUCUUGAGGACAAUAUAUAUAGCUGGUGGAUAAGAUCAAGGGAAUAGUAAUUGUAAUGCAAUAUUAAUUGUAUAUAUCUAGUUUACUCCAACAUUAUAUAUCAAUUAUUAUCAAUACUAGAUGAUUCCAAAACCAUGUAGAGCUCGCUUCGACAACAGUUAAACUCGAAGAUAAUCCCUUCUUGGUUUUCUCUUAAAAAAUGUGCGCUAUGGGCAUGUUUGGCAUGCAGUUUUGGGGCGCUGGAGAGUUCGCUAAUGUGGUGAUCGACAUCUCCAAACUCAAGAUCCUUCAAGCUCGCAACUUCCACUUGCUCACAGGAGAAGUCGAGAACUUGGAAAGUAGCUAGAGAUCGAGGCCAUUUCUGGGGAGGAUCUCGUACGAGCUCUGUGCGUUUCAAGUAGCGGUAAGUGUUGUGUUGAGUUCCACCCGGAUUCCAGUUCGAGCACCACGCUUCACGUGAAAUAGACAAGCUCUUGUAUGACAAAAAUAAUCCAGCAAAGUCCUCGUGUCGUAACCUUCCUUUUUCUAUUGACUCACGAAAACUUCAUUAAUUUAAGCUUCUGCCUAAGAAAGAAAAAAGAAAAGAAAAAAAAUGGGAGUUCUUUAUCCAUAUGAAUUUCUAUCAUAAAUAUCUUUCUAGCUAAACUCAAUUUAUCAUUUGCAAUUAUAUCGCUACAACAAUCAAAAUUAAGCUGAACAUGAGUGAGCUAGACUAAGCUCUAGCUCAGCUAGCUAGUUUAUUAAAUAAAUCAAUUCCAAUUUACUGUGCCCAUUUACGAAGUAAUGAUGAACUGGCUCACAAACGACAAGUUGUAUUGUUGUAUUAUUGAUAGCCCAAUUUUUGAUGGUAGGAGCUCAUUACGAAUCGACCACAAGCAAGCUUGCGAACAGUAAAAUAUGUCGUGACAGCUUUAUAUAUAUCUAACUGCACAUGCGUUAUACAAAGAUAUUCUCUUUCAUUUUCUUUUAUUUAGUGUUGAAUAAAUCCAGCGAACAACUGAUCAAGAGCAAAUAAGGAGUCAACAUCUUAAGCGAACGUGUGGGGGUCGAUGCGGAGAGAAAUAUCCUCACAAAAGGCAAGCAAUUAAGUGCCGAAUAUUCAGGGACGAAAAAGUGAAGCCUUUUGAAUUGUUGUUCUUCACACAGCUAUAUAUUAUAAUGCAUAACUAAGCUCGAAUUAUAAUACAUUUAGCUGUACAAAUCUUUCGAUAUUUUCCCUUAAUUAUUUGUCUGAAUCAAUAGUCGACACUAUCAAAUAUGAUUUGCAUCUCAUGAACCUUCUAAAAACGAAAUUUUUAAUUUUUUAAAUAUUAUUUGCCUAUUGUUCAAGUGGUCCUAAAAUCAUAUAAAAUUUAAGAUCGCUUGAUGAUGACUAGGUAAAUAUUAAUGCCUAACAAUUAUAAAAUUUAGAUUUUAAGUUCAUCGGACAUAGAUAAUGCAUGUUUACUGAUGUCGAUCAUUCAAAAACAACAUAACAAUAUUAGGAGAUUGGUACUUUUCUAGAAGUAUUGCAGUUUAAUUCUUAUUUAUAUGACAAACUUAUAUUUUACUUUUUAUUAUUUUAAUGCAAAUUCAAAGAUUUAUAUCAAUCUACAUCAUUUGCGAUCCUGGAAACGCUCUGAUUAACGCAUAAACAUCUCAAGGGAAGGAUAAAAUAAUAAUUUAUGGUACGUAGCAAGGAGUGAUAUAUAGAAGGAAUAUAUGGUCGUAGAAUUUUCGUAGGGUGGAGGAUUUGAGUGGGAAAGCGACUUCUAAGGUUGGAGAGAGAAUAUGAAAAAUGUAUAAGAUCCUAGAGCAUGAGGAGACCAAAAGAAUAUAUCGAGGUUGAGGGACUUGUUUGUAAAUAUACAUUUUUUUGUGGUAGUCUUAGGUUCUUUUUUCCUCGGUUGGAUUUAUUAGGAAAUCAUACUGUGUUUGUAGGCUAUGGAGUAAGAAGUUUUUGUCAAAUCGUUGCAGAUCAUAAAAUAUAUCUCAAACUAAUUUAAUUUUACUAUGUAGGAUGACAAAGAGUCCAAUCAGGAUUAUAAUGAUAAUUACAACUUAAAAUAAUAUUUUUUAAAAAAUUUAUUUUUAUAAGUUUGUAUAAUAUAACAAGAAAACCUUUUACUGUCUAAUAGGACUCUUAUUAGCUUUUCAAUCAACCAGUAUGGAGUUCGUAAAACGUUCUCUAAAAAUCACAUUAUUACAAAAUUAUUAGUGUUAAAAAUAAUAGUUUCAUAUUAAACAAAUAUAUGACCUUUGAUUUGUACACAAUAUAUAAGGCUUUGGCCGAAAUUGUGGCGCGCGCUAAUGGUACCCAAGUAUAUAUAUAUAUAUAUAGAAUUGAGCUCCUAUACUUUUAAAAGUACUAAGUUAUUGGUGUUUGUAGAUUUUUAGUCAUUGGAUUAAAAGAUAUACGGUUAAGAUGAUGUAGGUCCCCUAGAAUUGAGUGGAUGGUUGGUUGAAUAGUAUGAUCUAACGGGUGAAAAUGAUCAAAAAGAUAGAUCUAACAGCGGAAAACUUGGUAGCACCAAGUGCUUCGUGCUAUUAAUAGCAUAGUAGCCGAACUCAUAUAUAUAUAUAUAUAUAGAGCAUGACUGCUGUGCUCUCAGGAGCACGGAGGCCUCCGUGUUCCUGAGCCGUUUUCAAUGAUGGAGUUUUGAAAUUGACGAUCGGCUCCGUUAAACUUGAUCUAGCGUAUUUGAAGUUUCUAGAUAAUAAUUUUUGCGAUUUUUCGAUAUCAUUUACCUAGCAAUCGAAAGGAUUCAAAAUCAAUUAAUUUUUAACGGCUGAAAAUAAAAAUCCUAUAAAAAGUGGUGAUAUAGCACUAAAAUUUUCGAUCAGAAAUAUUGAUCUUGUUGUAGAUAGUAUAAAGAAUUUUGUAUCAAAAUUUCAUUUGAUUUGAAUACUUCUACACCGUUAAACUUGAAAACGGCAAAUAUCAACUAUUAAAAAUUAUUGAUUUUGAAUUAUUUCGAUCACUAGAUAAAUGAUAUAAAAAAAUCGCAAAAAUCAUUUUCUAAAAAUUUCAAAUACGCUAGAUCAAGUCUAAUGGAGUCGAUCGUCGAUUCGAAAAUUCAAUCAUCGAAAACGGCUCAGGAGCACGGAGCCUGAGAGCACAGCAGCCUUGCUCUCUCUCUCUCUCUCUCUCUCUCUCUCUCUCUCUCUCUAUAUAUAUAUAUAUAUAUAUAUAAAGUUGGAUCAGAAAGUUAAGGAACGGAUUUUAGAAUCACAUGCCAUGUCCCCCGCAUAAGUCGAAAGAUAUAAAACUUCUAUAGAACCAUCAAAAUCAAAAGCUUAUGCAUGUAUAGAUUUUAACUCAACAGUAUAGAUUAAUCUUUUAUUAUCAAAGUAAUUAUUUCGAUAUGAAAAUUGAGUUUUGGUUUUGUAAAUUCUAGGAUGAUGUUGUGUACAGCAUAAGACCUUUUUUAUUUUAAGAUUCAUGUCGGUUCAACGACUCUAAUUAGCUUUAAAUUCCGUACUUUAUUUCCCAAUUUCUGGUUGAUUAGUUGACCUAAAACGGAAAAGAAAAGGUCUCGCCAUUGCGUGUGGGGGAUAUUUGAAUUAAAGAAUAAUCAAUAACCCAACGGUACGAAAUUGGUUUACCAAGCAUAGAAUAUUCGAGCAUAUUCAAUAAACUUGAAUUUGAAUGCUUCUUGGGAGUUUAAAAACAUUAUAUUAAUGUUUUAGGUACAUACAAAAUAAGAGUCAGAAAAGAAGGACGGACCACUUCUUUGAAUGGGGUCCUCUUUUUCUUUUUUCUUUUUCUUUUUUUUUUUUUUAUUAUAUGCAACCUAGUGAAUAUUCUCAUAACUCAGAAUUUUUAUGAAGUUUAAAAGAGUUAACUUGUUGAUAUAUUAUGCAUACAACAACCUAUUUAAUGGGACGAGUUCAUAUAUUGGUAAUAUAAUUUUUACUUUUCAGAUUUUAUUUUCACUUACUUGUAGAAUCUAGUUUAGUAUAGGAUUAUGACACAAGUAAAUUGUGUGAGAGAUGUGGUCGGUGCUCCAGCUGGAUGGCUAAAUGCGACUUGCUGUGUGAACGUGAUGAAUGUUUGUAAUAGCGUAAUUGUUUUAUAGUUUUGAUACUUUUUUUAUACAAUUUGUGUAUAAAUUCUGUUUCUAUUUGGAACAUCUUGAAUUGUACUGAUUGUGACGUUUUGGGCAGAUAGAAAAAUCUUUGUCUGUUCGACAGGUCUAGCGUACGCACUCAUGCAAGACUCUUUCCACCUAUUUGGAAAAGGGACGGCGGGGCGUGACAUACCGAGCCCCUAUUUUUGAUCGCAACAAGCAAUAUAGUAGAUUAUAGGAUCGUGUGUGAAGUAAACAGUCGAGGGCAUAGUAUUAGUUUAGCAUGGCGUAUCUUAUUUUGCUUUCGUUCAAUUUCCUGCUUAAUAAAAGUCAUUAUCAGAUUGUUUUUGCGAAGAAUGAAACAUAUAAUAUUUCGUAUACAAUUAAAGAAAAGGAAGAAGGAAAUAAUAUCAGCUGCUACAUUUUCCAGUUCAACACAACUAUGCCUUAGAGCUGCAAAUUUUAGUUGACAAGUUUGAAGUAAAAACUUAUACUUUUAGUCAAAAUCAAUUGUUAGACUAAGCAUGAAAAAAAUUGUUGAUAUAGAAAAAUAAUGAUUUCUAUAUGUAGGUAUAAAACGAAUUCACAAUGCACAUAAUUUCUACUUUGUAGAAAGGGAAAAAAAUUGCUUCAAUUUAAGCACUAAAAGAACAGGGGUUUUAGUUGUGCAAUUAUUAUUAAGUAGAAGAUCAAAACACACACCUCCAAAUGACACUCAAACAAUGCUGUAAUAUUUGUACAUUUGAGGACAGUUACAGAGAGAAAUUAAUAGAGUGCAAGUCGAAGAAACACUUUCGACUCUUAUCGUUUUUGAGCUUAAGGUUGCAUUUUCUGCAGAAUGAUGCAACUGACUCCUGCAUCGAGCCCGGACCGCACACAAAAACUCCUACUCUUUGUCCUUCUGUUUCAGUCGACAAUUCUGAAAGUAUGUCUGCAAAAAUAAACCAUAAAAUCAUAUGGAGAUCGAAAGAGACGAAUAACAAUGUUUGGUGGCUUAAGGAGUUGAUGACAUUACCUGAUAAGUUUGGCCUUUUUCUGAAGUUCACUUCAUGCUGUUGCAGUGAACCCUCUUCUUUCAUCGAUUGCUGUUCUGCAUAUUUGUCGCUACAAUAGUUCGAUGAUUUUCUCCACCUAUAGAGAACAGUCGCCACGGCGCAGCAGCUUGUUGCUAUCACGAAGGAAGAGAAGACCAACAAAUCGUUAAUCCACGACGGGGUUUUCUGAUGCGAGGGUUUCUUAUUUCGGUGGAAUACAAUGUGGUUUAGGCACACAAGUGAGGCGAGAAAAAUAACGAAGGAUAAUGCGGUGAUCAUCGCAUUCCACAAGAGCCCUUCUUGCAUUGGCACAACUUCUUGGUGAGGUUCGCAGUCCAUGACGACUGUUUCGACAUGCGAAUUGCCAUGCAGAAAGUCGCACGCUGCACUAGCCGAUCCAUGUUCUUGCGUUACGUAAAGUUUUAGCUCCAGAUAUUCAAGUUCACUGGGCUGUUUACGGAGUAACGACGAAAUCGGUGAUAGCAUGCUGAGAUCUUGUAUUCGCUUGACGCAGUAUAUCAAUAGUAUCUUUGUAGGGCGCCUCUUCGUAUUGCUGUUUCUCGAAGCAAUGUCAUGUAAAAUGCUAAGAAAUGGAGUUAUACCCGAUCCUCCCGCGAUCAAAACUAAACUGGAAUAUCUGCUUCAAGAAGACAUGUUUUUAGAAUUACAAGCGACUCCAGAGUUUUCUUUUACGUAAAUUAGGCUGUGAAUUUGUGACGGUACCUUUGGUACGGGGAAUUUACGGGACCGUAUGGACCAUCAAUUGCGACAGCAACAUGCUUCGCCUGAUCGAAUUUGGUAUCUGUCAUGGCAUGUAUCUUAUUAUAUAGUGUUUCAGUCCACUGCCCAUGGCUUUUAACUAACACACAAAGCCUCUCAGCAUUUCUGCUGCAGCUUGUUGUAAUGCUAAAAGGAUGCCACUGGAGUUUCGAUAUGCUCGGUAUUUUUAUAAAAAUCAUACUUGUCGGAGUAUACUUCGUACCUACAAUAAAGCAACAAUCACAAAUUAAAACAUACGAAUCUUAAUUUUAUAUUUGUGUAGAUCUUCAAUUUGGUGUUUCAAGUGUUGGUUACUUGGGUGCUUAGGUAGAGUGAGUUCUACUGCUUUGCAAGGCAAUAUGCGAGCGGAAAUAAGGCAUGUUUCACUCCUCGAUUGUAUUAUCCGUAGUAUCUUGUCAAGGGCGAAUAGAAGAACACCGGAAAACACCAGAUAGAAAUGCUGAUCCCCCGCAUGCAACAAGAAAAACAAGAUGAAUACUAUAUACAAGUGAUGGGCUAGGAAGAAAGCCUGAAACUGUUUCCUUCUUAUCCAGGGGAGUGAUGUUAUCCAGAUGAUCGCAGCUGUCGCGAGAGCAAAAGCUCCUGCGAUGUUCACGCGCCCUACUCUCUGCCACUUUAUUAUCUGUACUUUUCGAGAAACAGAAAAAGUGCAGUUAAUUUUUAGUCAUGAAGUGGCAUAUAUUUAUAGCAUAAAUAAUCUCAUAAUACUUUUUAAGUAAGUUAUAUUGGUGUAAUGAUAAGUCUCAUUUGGAGGCAUAUUACUGCAUAUUUUGCUUGUGGAAAUCAACGAUAAGUUGUUUAUACUGCAUAUGCUGCAUGACAAAUUCAGCCCUUGUUUACACUUGAAAUGUACCGAGAGCUAUUGAAAUACUGCAAGCGCUUAUAAUCGAGUAGAUAAGUUGGAAAUCUAUGUGUUUUAAGCCGAGUCGGAUCACUGAUAACCUCUCUUUUUUCUCUGUUUUUUUCUUUUCUGAAAUGCAACUGUCGGUGAUCUUGUUUUCUGGAAAGCGGAUAUAUAACAACACUACAGUUAUAUAUCUACCCUCUUUUUUUUUAAAUUUCUUCCUAUGCAAUCAGUCGACUGUCGAAUUCGUGAUGAACGACAUUUCUUUACGUGAUGUCCAUAAAUUCAACUUGAAUCAUUCAAAGGUAACAUGAUGAAAUUCAAACAGUUCGGUCGAUUGAUCACAUACCUCCUUUGAAAAGCGCUUAUUAACAGCCCAAAUAAACAUGAUACUCAGGCCAUGCAAAGUGGAGAGAAGUAUCAUUCCAUUAGCAAUCCAAACAUGAUAUCUAACAGAAGCCUCAAACUGAACUCCAAUUAUCCUGAAAAUAGAAAGUCCCCUUAGAAUCGGCAAAAGCAGGAUUGCAAGGCAAGCCUCGCUGAGCGAGCCGAUGCGUACUCCCAUAUGCAUCAUCUUUAGCUGCCAUCUUCGAGUAGAAAGAACUAUGUAAGAAGGAGCUUCUCAAAGAAACAACAAAAAGAGUAAAUUUAAAAGAUCAGUGCAUGAUCAUCACCUACCUAUUCAACUUUAGAGAGGCAUAGGGUGUCAUCUUCUUGAAAUCGCUCGCGACAUUCGAGUAAUAGGUCCAAACCAGGAAAACUAUAUACAGAGAUGUCGCAAUAAGCUCACCGAAUGAUACUACGCCGACAGGGCUACUUACAACUACUGGAUUCGCGAUUGUUGUUGAUGUCAGAGGUCUCUUCUUCCUGCUGACAUAUGUUUAUCAGCCUACUACAAUGUGGAAAAAAAAUAAAAAAUAAAAACAUUAAGCAUUUGAGCAAAAGUGCCAAGUAAUAAAAGCAUACCGUAAGUACCCGUUCUUCUGACACAGAUGCAAAUAGAUGUAUCCUAGAGUUGCGACGCCUAAAACUGGGAAGCAGAAUACUAUCACAUUGAGGCCUGCGUCAAAAUUUCGCACCAAGAAGAGAAGAUACUAAUACUGGUGUUAAAGAAUGAAACAAGGACUUUAGCAGCAUCAAGUUGUUUCGAUAAGUUAGUACCGUAGUCGCCAAGGAACGUAGCAUUUGCUCGAUCUUCUGCAACAUGCCAUGAUCUCUUCCACACAUUUGUCGGCUUUAGAAUCCAUAUACAUAUCCACGCAGCAAAUAAUAUGAUCAUCGACAGAUUGAGGACGACACGGAGAGCCGAAUUUGGAGCCAUGAAUAUUGAAUUGCAGAGGCUUCGAUUUCGUUAAAUUGUUAGAGGAAAAAAGUAGUAGGUUGUUCUCCUUUUAAGGAGUAAAUGGGCUAACCAAUCAUGACAUAUGGUGGAUAGUGGUUGUCAUCUCCAUGCCCACUUUUGCACUUUGGCUGAUCAUGGUGAAGUCAUGCGACGAGAGCGACUGACGCGAUGGUCUCAUCGAUUGUUAUCCAGAUCAGGUUCUCCUUUCAUAUUUAGAAGAUAUUGAUAAGGCAAUUGCCUUGUAAAAGAUUUAGAGCUUGUAGCAUUGCAUAUUUUUGUUCUGAAGAUGCUGUUCAGUUGUGUGUGUGUCAUCUUGAGCAAAAUUCUCAAUCUUGGAUCAAAUUUGAACUUUAUUUUGAUUAUAAUGAUUAAAGAUAUUAUAUGCUUUAUUUGAAAAAGAAGGAAUUAAUCAUGUGAUCAAUAGAAGAAAAAAAAAAUCCCUUAUGUACAAAUUAUUAUUAAUUACUUAUUCCGACACUCAAAGAAGGCCGCGUAGAAUGAUAAAGCAUGUGAAGUCAGCAUGCGCCAGCGGAAGCUCACGAAUAACACAUGCCUGACUGCCCAGGGCUCGUGCCACUCCAUGCCUCUUGAGAAUCUCUGAAUAAAUUGUUGCCCGGACCCAGUCCAGCACAUCAGCAGUGGUCCACCAUGUAGAUUUGAAAAAUUCUCUUAUACAGAAUAAAAAUUAUGAGUUUAGGGGAUUAAUUAAUAUACGUCAGUGUUUUCUAUAUGUAAAUUUAAGUUAUCAGAAUUGAACCAAACUACUAAUAGCAUAGUAGUAAGGUACUCGAGAGCCAGCUAUGAGGUCGAAAGUUUGAGCCUCGUAUGAGCAUAAAUUUGAGACUCACGUGCUUGGAUUGGAGGAAGUCUAUUAUCUGAUAAUCACACCACAUCAUCUAUAAUCAGUUAAUCAUAUUUUUUUAGGAUAAACGUGUAAUAAAAAUAUUUUUUAAAAAAACAUGAUGGGAUGGGUAAACUACGAAGGCGUAUUUAGAUGGCCGGAGACACGACGUCAGUAAUGUGACUUUUAUGUUCUAGACUUUUUCCUUAGAUAUAGAGGUUCUGGAUAGCGGGACCAAUGGUAGAAAAAAAAAAAAGCACUAUUAUUGGGUGGUCCGCAGCUGGCGUGGUGGACUAGUUCUAGGUAAUAAUUCCAACUGGUUGAGGCCUCUCCUUUUUGGGUGCUCCACCAAGGCUAAUGGAGGAAGGUUGAUAGGUCCACCAAAGAUCUCAACAAUUGUGCACUGUAGAUAAGGGGUGGUAAUGUAAAGAACGCAAUAUUGGGAGGGCUAUGAAAAGUGGGAGAAUGUCAAAGACUCAUCAUAUUGGAAUGUUGAGGCUAGUCAACUAGAAUUGCAAUUUUAAGACCACAAAAGAACCCACUGUUUGGAGAGGACACUUACCAAAUUGAUAGUUCAACUUUAAUUCUUUAAAUGACAAGUGGGUUGCCAUCAUGAUCCAUUUGUGGAAUGUAAAGGUGUUUCUAGUAGCUAAAACAACAAGAUUUUAAGAUUUUAAGUGACAAUCAAUACAUACCGUGUCCAUCGAAUAUUUACAAGAUACUAUUCCUGUGUUGUUUGUAUAGCUUAACAUUCUCUUUUCUUUAAAAGAAAAGAAAAGAGAAUGUUAAGCUGACAGACUGCUGACUCGUGGAUUGAGGGUCGAUCAACACUGUGUCUUCUGUGCCUUCUACACGGAAAAUUACGACCAUCUUUUCUCCAACUGUAUCUUCACUCGUUAUCUCCUACUCACUAUGGAGGGGCAGUUUCCUUUGACCGAUGCUCUAGGGGACGUUCGAGAUCUCUGGACCCUAACUGCCAACACCACCGACGCUGCUCUGAGAUCAAAACGCCUUUGUCGCCUUGCUGGAAUCUGGUGGAUCGUCUGGACGGAAAGAGAUAAUUCCAUCUUCCGUGCAUUAUCCCACAACGUUCUUCGCUCUUCCGAUAGGUUGAGAAUUUUGUUGGCUGAGUGGUCCGCGAACAUCUGAUUUUUUUUUUCUUUUUUUCUUUUUUUCUGGCUCUUUGCUCUCCGGAAGCCCUAGCUGCUUCCACCCUGUUUCGCUUAGUUCACUUCCACUUAAUGAAUGAAGCGGGUAGCUUGCUACCUUUUCUCAAACAAAAAAAAAAACAUUCUCUUUUCUUUAGAACUAAUAAAUAGUUAUCUCAAUAAAAUUUAAAAAAUGAUAAAAAUAUAUAACAAUUAGAAUAUAUUAGUACCAAUAAGGCUAAUUUAUGAUCGGCAUAUAUUGGCACUGCACGGCAUGUAGCAUGUCGUACCAUACUAGCAAGUUUUCGAUACGAUCCUGUGAUACGACACAAAUCCUUGCUCAACAGCCUAUAAUACAGAAAUUAAGUAUUAUAGCCUAUGAUAGGACCCCUUGAUAUAAAAUUUCAGGUUUGAGAGAAAUUUCAGUUUUUUUUUUUUCUCCCUAGUUUGCCUAAAACGUGAAAUUCAAUUUCUUUAAAACCGAAAAGCAUCACAGCAGGAUCAUUUUUCUGCUUUUUUUUGUUUGCGUAUUUUUCUUUGCUUCAUGAAAUUUUUUUCUUGUUAACCAGUCCCAGUGAUACUAACUCCCUGAAACACAUUGUUACAAGCAAAUUUUGCAAAAUUCAUGGAAUCACUGUACUUUUAGUCCAAUCCACAUGAGCCCAACCAGAAAAGUGUUCUUGAAUCUUCUCAAAACAGAGUUUCUGAUAAGUAAUCCCCAAAAUGAAAAUCAAAAGAGAUUAAAAAAAAAAAGGGAAAAAUAUAGCUUAUGAUCAUCUUUGUGUCUCUACUUGCAUCUACAGUUCACAUCAUGAAAGAAAUGGCAAACACACACACACACACACACACACACACACACACACAUGUUCACAAUUGUAUGAACGAAAAUUGGCUUCUGCACCGAAAGCACUUCUUGCUGCAGCACUCUUUUCUGCUAACCAUCAGUUUUCUGACAGGCAGGAGAUGAUCAUUAACUAUGAUCAACCUUCUAAAAUUCGCUUGAUCUUUCUCUCCAAUCUGCUAUAUCUUCUUGGUUGCACCAAAAUAUUUCCAAAUAAUCAGAAUAAAUGAUACCUGUCUUGUGAAUCAAUCAAACAAAACUGGGCAAAAUCUUGGUUAAGAUCCAGGUGUAGAUAACAGAUAGAAGAGCGCCAACAGGAAUUGUGACCACCCAGGAAGCAACAAUCUCUCUCACGGUCUCCGCUCGCACGCUGUUCAAUCCCCUGGCGAAUCCAACGCCCAUGACUGCGCCUACGAGCGUGUGCGUGGCAGAGAUUGGCAGCCCGAGCUUCGAUGCCACGAGAACCACAGAAGCAGCUGCGAACUCCGCUGCGAACCCCCUCGUUGGUGUGAGCUCUGUUAUCUUCCUGCCGAUUGUGGAAAUCACCCUGUACCCCCACAUCAUCAGCCCCGCGACGAUCCCGAAUCCACCCCACGCAAGAACAUCGGUGGGGAUGACUAUUUCGGCCCCGCUCGCGCCGCCAUGCAGGAUGGAUAGUGCGGCCGCCAGAGGGCCGAUGGCGUUCGACACAUCGUUCCCCCCGUGCGUGAACGACAUGAAGCAAGCCGACAGCACUUGCAUGUAACCGAAGACGCCGUACACGAUCUCCAGCUGGGCUCCUGUCGGGCCCGCGAUGUUGGAUAGAAAUCCGAUGCUCUGAACAUGCGGUUUCUCUGUCGGUGCAGGUUUCUCUGCUUCGGUGGAUAGGAGGUGUCCGAGUUGUUUAUGGAUGACGCGGCUGACGAUGACUGCCCCUGCAGUUCCGCAGGCCAAGGCCUGUGCUAGCGCAAUUGGAAAGAUCUUGCUAAGAGGAAAUGCGGAGAAGGAGAUUCCGGUGACGCCUAAGAAAACAGCUAUCGGUGCAGCAGCUGCUGCAGCCUGACCGGGGUUUGGCGCACUAUAUACAAACUGAAGAAGAAACAACACUAAAAAUGUUAGCACAGGUUAAGGCCAAUUGCAAUUCGGCCGUAAAUCAAGUUUAAAGAGAGGAACAACAUUUGUUUCGUAGUCGAACAUGACAACAAAAACUGAGAAUGUCAUCUAACUGUCGGUUCGAUUCCAUGAAAAUGGUUUCCCCAAGAUCGGCAUGUAACUCAUGACUAGCGUUGUUAUGAUCAAUAAAGAAAUUAAUGUUUUUAUUGAUCGAAGAAACGAGAUUGCUAUAGUAAACGCAUCUUAGGCUCUUUUCCACAAUGUGUCAGUUUUAAACAGGGCAUGAGGCAUGUUAUUUGUAAGCAAGGAAUGGAGCAGCUUACCCUGCGUAUGCAUUUGUAAACAAGGAAUGAAACAGCUGCUCCCAUGAGAGGAGAGAUGACCCACGAAGAAGUAACUCGCGCCAAGGAACUCCAGAAAACAGCGCCGACGCCUCCAUAAACAAGCCCGAAGCCGACCAUGGCUCCGACAAUACAAUGCGUCGUAGAGACGGGCCAACCGUAGAAAGAAGCCACCUAAAACGAGAAAAAAAAAAAACC
This 23668-nucleotide long non-coding RNA is filed under the name Ananas comosus (pineapple). RNAcentral describes it as "long non-coding RNA (ACOM_LNC025381)". Lineage: Eukaryota; Viridiplantae; Streptophyta; Magnoliopsida; Poales; Bromeliaceae. The record is from RNAcentral.